This 495-nucleotide ribosomal RNA is filed under the name uncultured bacterium. Its description in RNAcentral is "partial 16S ribosomal RNA". It matches the Rfam family "Bacterial small subunit ribosomal RNA", at positions 28 to 507 of the family's 1533-position model. The record is from RNAcentral.
GACGAACGCUGGCGGCGUGCCUAAUACAUGCAAGUAGAACGCUGAAGGAGGAGCUUGCUCUUCUGGACGAGUUGCGAACGGGUGAGUAACGCGUAGGUAACCUGCCUGGUAGCGGGGGAUAACUAUUGGAAACGAUAGCUAAUACCGCAUAACAGUAGAUGUUGCAUGACAUUUGCUUAAAAGGUGCAAUUGCACCACUACCAGAUGGACCUGCGUUGUAUUAGCUAGUUGGUGGGGUAACGGCUCACCAAGGCGACGAUACAUAGCCGACCUGAGAGGGUGAUCGGACACACUGGGACUGAGACACGGCCCAGACUCCUACGGGAGGCAGCAGUAGGGAAUCUUCGGCAAUGGACGGAAGUCUGACCGAGCAACGCCGCGUGAGUGAAGAAGGUUUUCGGAUCGUAAAGCUCUGUUGUAAGAGAAGAACGAGUGUGAGAGUGGAAAGUUCACACUGUGACGGUAUCUUACCAGAAAGGGACGGCUAACUACGUG